AGGUGGGACCACCGCGCUACUGCCGCCAGGCAAAUUCUGUUAUCAGACCGUUUUUACGUUCUGAUGUAAUCUGAAUCAGUGCUGAAAAUCGUCUCUCAUCCNNNNNNNNNNNNNNNNNNNNGAAUCAGUGCUGAAAAUCGUCUCUCAUCCGCCAAAACAUCUUCGGCGUUGUAAGGUUAAGCCUCACGGUUCAUUAGUACCGGUUAGCUCAACGCAUCGCUGCGCUUACACACCCGGCCUAUCAACGUCGUCGUCUUCAACGUUCCUUCAGGAGACCUAAAGUCUCAGGGAGAACUCAUCUCGGGGCAAGUUUCGUGCUUAGAUGCUUUCAGCACUUAUCUCUUCCGCAUUUAGCUACCGGGCAGUGCCAUUGGCAUGACAACCCGAACACCAGUGAUGCGUCCACUCCGGUCCUCUCGUACUAGGAGCAGCCCCCCUCAGUUCUCCAGCGCCCACGGCAGAUAGGGACCGAACUGUCUCACGACGUUCUAAACCCAGCUCGCGUACCACUUUAAAUGGCGAACAGCCAUACCCUUGGGACCUACUUCAGCCCCAGGAUGUGAUGAGCCGACAUCGAGGUGCCAAACACCGCCGUCGAUAUGAACUCUUGGGCGGUAUCAGCCUGUUAUCCCCGGAGUACCUUUUAUCCGUUGAGCGAUGGCCCUUCCAUUCAGAACCACCGGAUCACUAUGACCUGCUUUCGCACCUGCUCGCGCCGUCACGCUCGCAGUCAAGCUGGCUUAUGCCAUUGCACUAACCUCCUGAUGUCCGACCAGGAUUAGCCAACCUUCGUGCUCCUCCGUUACUCUUUAGGAGGAGACCGCCCCAGUCAAACUACCCACCAGACACUGUCCGCAACCCGGGUAACGGGUCCACGUUAGAACAUCAAACAUUAAAGGGUGGUAUUUCAAGGUCGGCUCCAUGCAGACUGGCGUCCACACUUCAAAGCCUCCCACCUAUCCUACACAUCAAGGCUCAAUGUUCAGUGUCAAGCUAUAGUAAAGGUUCACGGGGUCUUUCCGUCUUGCCGCGGGUACACUGCAUCUUCACAGCGAGUUCAAUUUCACUGAGUCUCGGGUGGAGACAGCCUGGCCAUCAUUACGCCAUUCGUGCAGGUCGGAACUUACCCGACAAGGAAUUUCGCUACCUUAGGACCGUUAUAGUUACGGCCGCCGUUUACCGGGGCUUCGAUCAGGAGCUUCGCUUGCGCUGACCCCAUCAAUUAACCUUCCGGCACCGGGCAGGCGUCACACCGUAUACGUCCACUUUCGUGUUUGCACAGUGCUGUGUUUUUAAUAAACAGUUGCAGCCAGCUGGUAUCUUCGACUGACUUCAGCUCCAUGAGUAAAUCACUUCACCUACGUGUCAGCGUGCCUUCUCCCGAAGUUACGGCACCAUUUUGCCUAGUUCCUUCACCCGAGUUCUCUCAAGCGCCUUGGUAUUCUCUACCUGACCACCUGUGUCGGUUUGGGGUACGAUUUGAUGUUACCUGAUGCUUAGAGGCUUUUCCUGGAAGCAGGGCAUUUGUUGCUUCAGCACCGUAGUGCCUCGUCGUCACGCCUCAGUGUUAAAGUGAACCGGAUUUACCUGGAACACACACCUACACGCUUAAACCGGGACAACCGUCGCCCGGCCAACAUA
Molecule: ribosomal RNA, 1641 nt
Filed under: Salmonella enterica subsp. enterica serovar Paratyphi A
Lineage: Bacteria; Pseudomonadati; Pseudomonadota; Gammaproteobacteria; Enterobacterales; Enterobacteriaceae
Description: 23S ribosomal RNA
Source: RNAcentral